GGGAAAGGGGGUUCCACAGAAGAGGAUGCUGGGAGGAGAUGGAGUAUAUCUCAGAGAAAUGUAGCUGCCAUUGAACUGGAAUAGUUGGCAGUGAGACUAUUGCUUCAGUACCCCUGGAGGCUUGAGCACAGGGACUUGGUCGGAGAUUUAUCCAUUAAUUCCUACCAAUUCAUAAAUUCCUACUUGUCUAUAGGAAUUUAGUUAAGACAUCUCAAUAAAUGAGUACUCACGUUCCUUCAGCCACUGACCUUUUACUUCCAAAGUAAUGUACUUGUAGUCAGCACCUUGGUAGUCAAUGAGACAAAGGUAAGAUCCCGCAUCUGUGAUCUUGACGCUGGUAAUGUGAAGGAUUGCACGUCCCAAUUUCAAUUCGUUGCGUAACAGUGCUGCUCUUCCCAUGUAAUCAUGAUGUUGGGAUGAAGUGAGUGCUUUCCCAUUGCGGAGUGUGUACACCUCUCUUGAUUCCAACUGACCUUGCCUCUUCUGCUCCCAGACAACACUCAGAAGUCCCAGGUUCAAUGAGCCAUUCACAGGGAAUCUGCAUUCCAUGGUCACAUUGCUCCCAUACUCCACAACAUAUAGCUGCUGAGGAACUUCAACUGUAAAUAGUUCCUCAGCACCUAAGUCAUGCCUGGUAAUUCAGGCCACCUCUACUAUCAACACACAACGUUUUCAAGGAGAACAGUGGUGGAAAGUGAUGGACAUUUGUUCUUAUGCUCAAUGCUUAGACAAUGCCUUCUGUAAGGCAUUUCACGGCAGAGGCUCCACCCACAUCCUAAGGACACAGCAGUAUUGUAACAUUGGUCCUAAUGAUGAGAAUGAAAGGCAGCCCACUUCCUCUCACCUGAAACCACACAGAGCUGCAUUUCCAGCCACAGCACUGUCAGGAUUUGGAACAUUUUCUCUGGUUG
Molecule: long non-coding RNA, 911 nt
Filed under: Gallus gallus (chicken)
Lineage: Eukaryota; Metazoa; Chordata; Aves; Galliformes; Phasianidae
Description: long non-coding RNA NONGGAT011794
Source: RNAcentral